This 3022-nucleotide long non-coding RNA is filed under the name Homo sapiens (human). RNAcentral's name for it is "HSALNT0299566". Lineage: Eukaryota; Metazoa; Chordata; Mammalia; Primates; Hominidae. The record is from RNAcentral.
CAACGACGCCAUUAUCAGCACCCCCUGCCGGCGCCUCCGGCGCAGCCCGCGCAGGAUAUUUUGAAAAGCGCCGGAGAGCUAGGUGAAGAGCUGGGCUCCCAAGGGGGUGAUAGAACCAGCCCGCGGCCCGGCCUCCUCCUCCCGCUUCCCAUUCGCAGCCCGCCUCCCGCCGGGAAGCGGCCCGGCUGCUGCAGAACGGCCGCGCCUGCCCUCCCGGUUUCUCCCGUCCAGUCUUCACCGUCCUUUCCCAGAGAAAGCGACAGCACAGCCUAUGACAACCGAAGCUAAAACGGAAAAACUGGGCCGGGCGCAAGAGGAAACCAGAGCCAUUCGACUAUUGCUAGAGGAGAGGAAUAGCUGCAGGAAAACAUGCGCAAAAUAGCACAAACAUUGCGUCGUCAAGGCUGCAAUGUCUAAUACAAAAUAGAAGGUUCUCAUAGCAACAAAAACGUGCCCAUGUUGUGCUCAGUAUUACAUGCGUUAAAAUGUUCUUAGUUGUGAAAUUUGACAUGACCGCUAGUUAAAGUUACAAUGGAAGUUUUAAAUCCCGCUUUCCGAAAACUUUGCAGCUAUAGCAUGAAGUUAAAUUUUUGUCUUAUUUUCUGGAUAAGUUUACUAUACUGGAACAUAGUAAAGCUCUUUUUAUAAAGAGCUUUGAAUAAAAUACCUAAUGAUGUGGUUGAAACGAACACCUAUUUUCAAAACUAAUCUUAAGUGGUAUUUCAGUGCAUAUGUUAUGUAAAAGCAAUUUAUAAACUAAAUUUUAAGAGCCUUCAAAAUACAAGGUACUCGUAUUUAAUGACUUAACAGUUUUAAUGCUUUUAUUGUUUCUAUAAUCUCUCAGGAAAUCCUAAAACUGACUAUAUUUUUCUUUAUUAAAAUAACUUUUUCUGUAGAAGAUACCCAUUUGGCGCUGUGAUCAGCAUUCUACUUGAAAUUGAAUAUAAACAACUGAAUCAUUACAAAAUGGCUCAUGUUAGAAGAUACUUAAAACGAAUACAAUCUUGUACAGUAAAUGUUUAACACCCCAAAAUAACGAAAAGUAAUUAUUAGCAUUCAUUUAUAUCUAAAUCUCAGUCAAUAUGAUCUAAAUAUUUGUGUUUAAAGACUCCCCCUUUCCAUAUAGAUAAUGAAGGGCUUUGAAAUAAGUGUAGGAAACCCUAAGUUUGGUCUCAGGCUUCCUAUUCAUUCACUAUGCUUUUUCGUGUGCUGUUUACAGUUUCCUUUUUCUGGAAUGCCUUUCCCUGCUUUUUUCCCCCGCCAACAUUUCAGCUUCCCACAGACACACAUUUGUGCCCUCCUGGUUGUCCUGCAGGAUGACCUUUGUUUUUGUUUUUGUCUUUUGUUUUUCGAGACAGGGUCUCGCUCUGUCGUCCAGGAUGGAGUGCAGUGGUGUGAUCUCUGCUCACUGCAACUUCCGCCUCCCGGUCUCAAGUGACCCUCCCACCGCAACCUCCCAAGUAGCUGGGAGGAGCGGCGCGCGCCACCAUGUCUGGCUAGUUUUUGUAUUUUUUGUAGAGACAGAGUUUCCCCAUGUUGCCCAGGCUGCUCUCAAACUCCUGAGCUCAAGCGAUCUGCCGCCUGCCUGGCCCUCCCAAAGUUCUGGGAUUACAGGUGUGAGCCACUGUGCCUGGCCAGGAUGACCUUUUUGAAGUCACCUAGUCAUUGAAGCUUUCCCUCUCAGCCUUUUCCUCUGUGGCCCCAUGCUUAUAGAGCCUCCCACAUUGAUUUGCAGUGCCUUCGUUCGUUCACUUUAUUUCCACCUACCAAACAGUAAGAUCUUGAAGACAGAAACGGCAUUAUUCGUUUAUAUAUCCCCGGUAUCUAGUACAAUUUUUCUGUUUGCAAUAAUAAAUGUCUUAAAACUUAAGAAAGGAGUAAGUCUUCUCAAUGACUUUUUUUAAAAAAGACCCAGAUUCAGCACUUAUUGUAUGUAAGACAGACCUUCCUUUUACAUUACAUUUUUCAUCAGUAAAAGUACUGGGCCAGGCGCGGUGGCUCACGCAUAAUCUCAGCACUUUGGGAGGCUGAAGCGGGUGGAUCACUUCAGGUCAUGAGUUAAAGACCCACCUGGCCAACAUGGUAAAACCCCAUCUCUACUAAAAAUAGAAAAAUUAGCCGAAUGUGGUGGCUCACGCCUGUAAUCCCAGCUACUCGGGAGGCUGAGACAGAAGAAUCGCUUGAACCCAGGAGGCAGAGGUUGCAGUGAGCCGAGAUCCGCCACUGCACUCCAGCCCAGAUGACAGAGCAAGACUCCAUCCCCAAAAAAAGAAUAUAUUUUGCGGCCGGGCACGGUGGCUCAUGCCUGUAUACCCAGCACUUUGGGAGGCCGAGGUGGGCAGAUCACGAGGCCAGGAGUUCGAGACCAACCUGGCCAAUAUGGUGUAACCCCGUCUCUACUAAAAGUACAAACAUUAGAGUUUUCACGAGGCGCAAUAGAUGUAACUGAAAGCUUCGAGAAGUUUAAAGGACUUGCAAGGAAAUCUACUGAAAUAAGCCCCAUUCCACCUGGGCAGAAGCACUCAGACGCCAAACCCCACCUUCUGUCCUGAAAUUCACCUUCCACUAGGAGAGUUUGCUUUUCUAAUGCUUCAAAUGCACAACGGGAGAUGUUCUGACUUCAGGGUUUCUACCCUUCACUGCUGUAAUCUGCUGCCUGUAUGACAUGCGAUCUGGUUUACACCGUACAGCUUAUCAUCUUCAGCUUGUGGCCCCUUCCUUGUUUCCACCUUGCUAUUCAGGAGGGCCUGUAAGGGUAUCUGGAUUCCUUGAGCUGUAGAUGCAGGACAGUGAGAGGGAGGGAGGUAGUUCUCUGGUCUAAUUUCAGUUUCCUAACUGAGGGUACAUGCCUUCCCUGAAUGAUCAUCAUCAAAAAUAUCCAGCCCUUCAUGGAAGACACCACCCCUCCUCAUAGAUGAGUCCCUGAGCUUAUGAUCUCAAAAGGAAAUCCUUAUCAGAAUACAACAGAAUAAGGACAUAGUUUCAUUACAGUUAUAAUAAUAAAAGUAGUUCUUCUUUAUUA